AAAACCUUAUUUUUUGCAUAUUCAAUAAGCGGAGGAAAAGAAACCAACAGGGAUUGCCUCAGUAACGGCGAGUGAAGCGGCAAAAGCUCAAAUUUGAAAUCUAGCACCUUCGGUGUUCGAGUUGUAAUUUGAAGAUGGUAACCUUGGGUUUGGCUCUUGUCUAUGUUCCUUGGAACAGGACGUCAUAGAGGGUGAGAAUCCCGUCUGAUGAGAUGCCCAUUCCUAUGUAAGGUGCUAUCGAAGAGUCGAGUUGUUUGGGAAUGCAGCUCUAAGUGGGUGGUAAAUUCCAUCUAAAGCUAAAUAUUGGCGAGAGACCGAUAGCGAACAAGUACAGUGAUGGAAAGAUGAAAAGAACUUUGAAAAGAGAGUGAAAAAGUACGUGAAAUUGUUGAAAGGGAAGGGCAUUAGAUCAGACUUGGUGUUUUACGAUUAUCUUCUCUUCUUGAGUUGUGCACUCGUAUUUCACUGGGCCAGCAUCGAUUCGGAUGGCAAGAUAAUGGCAGUUGAAUGUGGCUUCACUUCGGUGGAGUGUUAUAGCUUCUGCUGAUAUUGCCUGUCUGGAUCGAGGGCUGCGUCUUUGACUAUGAACUUGCGUAAUCGGAAAACGUU
RNAcentral lists this ribosomal RNA (609 nucleotides) under Hansenula anomala. Its description in RNAcentral is "Wickerhamomyces anomalus partial large subunit ribosomal RNA". It matches the Rfam family "Eukaryotic large subunit ribosomal RNA", at positions 20 to 635 of the family's 3401-position model. Lineage: Eukaryota; Fungi; Ascomycota; Saccharomycetes; Phaffomycetales; Wickerhamomycetaceae. The record is from RNAcentral.